UACGGAGGGUGCAAGCAUUAAUCGGAUUUAUUGGGCGUAAAGGGCGCGUAGGCGGGAAAGUAAGUCAGACGUGAAAUCCCGGGGCUCAACCCCGGAACAGCAUUUGAAACUGCUUUUCUUGAGGGUAGAAGGAGAAAACGGAAUUCCACAUGUAGCGGUGAAAUGCGUAGAUAUGUGGAAGAACACCUGUGGCGAAGGCGGUUUUCUAUUUUAUACCUGACGCUAAAGCGCGAAAGCAAGGGGAUCAAACAGG
RNAcentral lists this ribosomal RNA (253 nucleotides) under uncultured bacterium. RNAcentral describes it as "partial 16S ribosomal RNA". It matches the Rfam family "Bacterial small subunit ribosomal RNA", at positions 524 to 776 of the family's 1533-position model. The record is from RNAcentral.